This 231-nucleotide ribosomal RNA is filed under the name uncultured bacterium. Its description in RNAcentral is "partial 16S ribosomal RNA". It matches the Rfam family "Bacterial small subunit ribosomal RNA", at positions 118 to 345 of the family's 1533-position model. The record is from RNAcentral.
UGAGGAACAUGACCUUCGGCGGGGGAGUAGCCGGCCCAACGGCCGGGCAAUACCGCGUACGACCACAUGGGGACGAUCCCUGAGUGGUGAAAGCAGCAAUGCGCCGAUGGAGUGCCUCGCGGCCUAUCAGCUAGUUGGUGAGGUAAUGGCUCACCAAGGCGACGACGGGUAGCUGGUCUGAGAGGAUGGCCAGCCACAUUGGGACUGAGACACGGCCCCAGACCUACCCGG